This 497-nucleotide ribosomal RNA is filed under the name uncultured bacterium. Its description in RNAcentral is "partial 16S ribosomal RNA". It matches the Rfam family "Bacterial small subunit ribosomal RNA", at positions 28 to 507 of the family's 1533-position model. The record is from RNAcentral.
GAUGAACGCUGGCGGCGUGCCUAAUACAUGCAAGUCGAGCGAACGGACGAGAAGCUUGCUUCUCUGAUGUUAGCGGCGGACGGGUGAGUAACACGUGGAUAACCUACCUAUAAGACUGGGAUAACUUCGGGAAACCGGAGCUAAUACCGGAUGAUAUUUUGAACCGCAUGGUUCAAAAGUGAAAGACGGUCUUGCUGUCACUUAUAGAUGGAUCCGCGCUGCAUUAGCUAGUUGGUAAGGUAAUGGCUUACCAAGGCAACGGUGCAUAGCCGACCUGAGAGGGUGAUCGGCCACACUGGAACUGAGACACGGUCCAGACUCCUACGGGAGGCAGCAGUAGGGAAUCUUCCGCAAUGGGCGAAAGCCUGACGGAGCAACGCCGCGUGAGUGAUGAAGGUCUUCGGAUCGUAAAACUCUGUUAUUAGGGAAGAACAUAUGUGUAAGUAACUGUGCACAUCUUGACGGUACCUAAUCAGAAAGCCACGGCUAACUACGUG